This 336-nucleotide unclassified non-coding RNA is filed under the name soil metagenome. Its description in RNAcentral is "partial contains 5.8S ribosomal RNA, internal transcribed spacer 2, and large subunit ribosomal RNA". The stretch from base 1 to 120 matches the Rfam family "5.8S ribosomal RNA", at positions 35 to 154 of the family's 154-position model. The record is from RNAcentral.
GAUGAAGAACGUAGCGAAAUGCGAUAAGUAAUGUGAAUUGCAGAAUUCAGUGAAUCAUCGAAUCUUUGAACGCACAUUGCGCCCGCCAGUAUUCUGGCGGGCAUGCCUGUUCGAGCGUCAUUUCAACCAUCAAGCCCCAGGCUUGUGUUGGGGACCUGCGGCUGCCGCAGGCCCUGAAAACCAGUGGCGGGCUCGCUGUCACACCGGGCGUAGUAGAUUUUAUCUCGCUCAGGGCGUGCUGCGGGUUCCGGCCGUUAAAAAGCCUUUUUUACCCAUGGUUGACCUCGGAUCAGGUAGGAAGACCCGCUGAACUUAAGCAUAUCAAUAAGCGGAGGA